AGUGAACGCUGGCGGUAGGCCUAACACAUGCAAGUCGAACGGCAGCACAGUAAGAGCUUGCCCUUACGGGUGGCGAGUGGCGGACGGGUGAGGAAUACAUCGGAAUCUACUUUUUCGUGGGGGACAACGUGGGGAAACUUACGCUAAUACCGCAUACGAUCUACGGGUGAAAGCAGGAGAUCUUCGGACCUUGCGCGAUUCAAUGAGCCGAUGCCGGAUUAGCUAGUUGGGGGGGUAAAGGCCCACCAAGGCGACGAUCCGUAGCUGGUCUGAGAGGAUGAUCGGCCACACUGGAACUGAGACACGGUCCAGACUCCUACGGGAGGCAGCAGUGGGGAAUAUUGGACAAUGGGCGCAAGCCUGAUCCAGCCAUACCGCGUGGGUGAAGAAGGCCUUCGGGUUGUAAAGCCCUUUUGUUGGGAAAGAAAAGCAGCAGGUUAAUACCCCGCUGUUCUGACGGUACCCAAAGAGUAAGCACCGGCUAACUUCGUG
This 492-nucleotide ribosomal RNA is filed under the name uncultured bacterium. Its description in RNAcentral is "partial 16S ribosomal RNA". It matches the Rfam family "Bacterial small subunit ribosomal RNA", at positions 29 to 507 of the family's 1533-position model. The record is from RNAcentral.